Molecule: ribosomal RNA, 253 nt
Filed under: uncultured bacterium
Lineage: Bacteria
Description: partial 16S ribosomal RNA
Rfam family: Bacterial small subunit ribosomal RNA
Source: RNAcentral
AACGUAGGUGGCGAGCGUUAUCCGGAUUUACUGGGCGUAAAGGGUGUGCAGGCGGGCGACCAAGUGGUGUAUGAAAUCUCCCAGCUAAACUGGGAUAGGUUAUGCCAGACUGGUGGUCUAGAGUGCGAGAGAGGGGCGUGGAAUUCCGGGUGUAGUGGUGAAAUGCGCAGAUAUCAGGAGGAACACCAAUAGCGAAGGCAGCUCGCUGGGACGGUAUUGACGCUAAGGCGCGAAAGCGUGGGGAGCAAACAGG